AGACCCGAAACCCGGUGAUCUAGCCAUGGGCAGGUUGAAGGUUGGGUAACACUAACUGGAGGACCGAACCGACUAAUGUUGAAAAAUUAGCGGAUGACCUGUGGCUGGGGGUGAAAGGCCAAUCAAACCGGGAGAUAGCUGGUUCUCCCCGAAAGCUAUUUAGGUAGCGCCUCGUGAAUUCAUCUCCGGGGGUAGAGCACUGUUUCGGCUAGGGGGCCAUCCCGGCUUACCAACCCGAUGCAAACUGCGAAUACCGGAGAAUGUUAUCACGGGAGACACACGGCGGGUGCUAACGUCCGUCGUGAAGAGGGAAACAACCCAGACCGCCAGCUAAGGUCCCAAAGUCAUGGUUAAGUGGGAAACGAUGUGGGAAGGCCCAGACAGCCAGGAUGUUGGCUUAGAAGCAGCCAUCAUUUAAAGAAAGCGUAAUAGCUCACUGGUCGAGUCGGCCUGCGCGGAAGAUGUAACGGGGCUAAACCAUGCACCGAAGCUGCGGCAGCGAACGUAUCACCCAAGACAACUUUACGGAGUUGACGAUUGACGGAGCGAAGCGACGUCAAAGCGUUCAUUAAAGUCGAGUUGGCUUAGGGAUACGUUCGUUGGGUAGGGGAGCGUUCUGUAAGCCUGUGAAGGUGUGUCGUGAGGCAUGCUGGAGGUAUCAGAAGUGCGAAUGCUGACAUAAGUAACGAUAAAGCGGGUGAAAAGCCCGCUCGCCGGAAGACCAAGGGUUCCUGUCCAACGUUAAUCGGGGCAGGGUGAGUCGACCCCUAAGGCGAGGCCGAAAGGCGUAGUCGAUGGGAAACGGGUUAAUAUUCCCGUACUUGGUGUUACUGCGAAGGGGGGACGGAGAAGGCUAUGUUGGCCGGGCGACGGUUGUCCCGGUUUAAGCGUGUAGGUGUGUGUUCCAGGUAAAUCCGGUUCACUUUAACACUGAGGCGUGACGACGAGGCACUACGGUGCUGAAGCAACAAAUGCCCUGCUUCCAGGAAAAGCCUCUAAGCAUCAGGUAACACGAAAUCGUACCCCAAACCGACACAGGUGGUCAGGUAGAGAAUACCAAGGCGCUUGAGAGAACUCGGGUGAAGGAACUAGGCAAAAUGGUGCCGUAACUUCGGGAGAAGGCACGCUGACACGUAGGUGAAGUGAUUUACUCAUGGAGCUGAAGUCAGUCGAAGAUACCAGCUGGCUGCAACUGUUUAUUAAAAACACAGCACUGUGCAAACACGAAAGUGGACGUAUACGGUGUGACGCCUGCCCGGUGCCGGAAGGUUAAUUGAUGGGGUCAGCGCAAGCGAAGCUCCUGAUCGAAGCCCCGGUAAACGGCGGCCGUAACUAUAACGGUCCUAAGGUAGCGAAAUUCCUUGUCGGGUAAGUUCCGACCUGCACGAAUGGCGUAAUGAUGGCCAGGCUGUCUCCACCCGAGACUCAGUGAAAUUGAACUCGCUGUGAAGAUGCAGUGUACCCGCGGCAAGACGGAAAGACCCCGUGAACCUUUACUAUAGCUUGACACUGAACAUUGAGCCUUGAUGUGUAGGAUAGGUGGGAGGCUUUGAAGUGUGGACGCCAGUCUGCAUGGAGCCGACCUUGAAAUACCACCCUUUAAUGUUUGAUGUUCUAACGUGGACCCGUAAUCCGGGUUGCGGACAGUGUCUGGUGGGUAGUUUGACUGGGGCGGUCUCCUCCUAAAGAGUAACGGAGGAGCACGAAGGUUGGCUAAUCCUGGUCGGACAUCAGGAGGUUAGUGCAAUGGCAUAAGCCAGCUUGACUGCGAGCGUGACGGCGCGAGCAGGUGCGAAAGCAGGUCAUAGUGAUCCGGUGGUUCUGAAUGGAAGGGCCAUCGCUCAACGGAUAAAAGGUACUCCGGGGAUAACAGGCUGAUACCGCCCAAGAGUUCAUAUCGACGGCGGUGUUUGGCACCUCGAUGUCGGCUCAUCACAUCCUGGGGCUGAAGUAGGUCCCAAGGGUAUGGCUGUUCGCCAUUUAAAGUGGUACGCGAGCUGGGUUUAGAACGUCGUGAGACAGUUCGGUCCCUAUCUGCCGUGGGCGCUGGAGAACUGAGGGGGGCUGCUCCUAGUACGAGAGGACCGGAGUGGACGCAUCACUGGUGUUCGGGUUGUCAUGCCAAUGGCACUGCCCGGUAGCUAAAUGCGGAAGAGAUAAGUGCUGAAAGCAUCUAAGCACGAAACUUGCCCCGAGAUGAGUUCUCCCUGAGACUUAGAGUCUCCUGA
Molecule: ribosomal RNA, 2228 nt
Filed under: Salmonella enterica subsp. enterica serovar Typhimurium
Lineage: Bacteria; Pseudomonadati; Pseudomonadota; Gammaproteobacteria; Enterobacterales; Enterobacteriaceae
Description: partial 23S ribosomal RNA
Rfam family: Bacterial large subunit ribosomal RNA
Source: RNAcentral